Molecule: ribosomal RNA, 253 nt
Filed under: uncultured bacterium
Lineage: Bacteria
Description: partial 16S ribosomal RNA
Rfam family: Bacterial small subunit ribosomal RNA
Source: RNAcentral
GACGGAGGAUGCAAGCGUUAUCCGGAAUGAUUGGGCGUAAAGCGUCCGCAGGUGGCAGUUCAAGUCUGCUAUCAAAGACCGGGGCUUAACUUCGGAAAGGCAGUGGAAACUGAACAGCUAGAGUAUGGUAGGGGCAGAGGGAAUUCCUGGUGUAGCGGUGAAAUGCGUAGAGAUCAGGAAGAACAUCGGUGGCGAAGGCGCUCUGCUGGACCAUAACUGACACUCAGGGACGAAAGCUAGGGGAGCGAAUGGG